GAUGAACGCUGGCGGCGUGCCUAAUACAUGCCAGUCGAGCGAACGGACGAGAAGCUUGCUUCUCUGAUGUUAGCGGCGGACGGGUGAGUAACACGUGGAUAACCUACCUAUAAGACUGGGAUAACUUCGGGAAACCGGAGCUAAUACCGGAUAAUAUUUUGAACCGCAUGGUUCAAAAGUGAAAGACGGUCUUGCUGUCACUUAUAGAUGGAUCCGCGCUGCAUUAGCUAGUUGGUAAGGUAACGGCUUACCAAGGCAACGAUGCAUAGCCGACCUGAGAGGGUGAUCGGCCACACUGGAACUGAGACACGGUCCAGACUCCUACGGGAGGCAGCAGUAGGGAAUCUUCCGCAAUGGGCGAAAGCCUGACGGAGCAGCGCCGCGUGAGUGAUGAAGGUCUUCGGAUCGUAAAACUCUGUUAUUAGGGAAGAACAUAUGUGUAAGUAUCUGUGCACAUCUUGACGGUACCUAAUCAGAAAGCCACGGCUAACUACGUG
Molecule: ribosomal RNA, 497 nt
Filed under: uncultured bacterium
Lineage: Bacteria
Description: partial 16S ribosomal RNA
Rfam family: Bacterial small subunit ribosomal RNA
Source: RNAcentral